GAGCGAGUGCAGUGAAGCCUUCUGACUUUUAAUCAGAGGGUCCUGGGUUCGAGUCCCAGCGCGCUCA
Molecule: transfer RNA, 67 nt
Filed under: Microvirga sp. BSC39
Lineage: Bacteria; Pseudomonadati; Pseudomonadota; Alphaproteobacteria; Hyphomicrobiales; Methylobacteriaceae
Rfam family: tRNA
About the family: Transfer RNA (tRNA) molecules are approximately 80 nucleotides in length. Their secondary structure includes four short double-helical elements and three loops (D, anti-codon, and T loops). Further hydrogen bonds mediate the characteristic L-shaped molecular structure. tRNAs have two regions of fundamental functional importance: the anti-codon, which is responsible for specific mRNA codon recognition, and the 3' end, to which the tRNAs corresponding amino acid is attached (by aminoacyl-tRNA synthetases). tRNAs cope with the degeneracy of the genetic code in two manners: having more than one tRNA (with a specific anti-codon) for a particular amino acid; and 'wobble' base-pairing, i.e. permitting non-standard base-pairing at the 3rd anti-codon position.
Source: Rfam by way of RNAcentral